CUAGCACCAUUUCUUAUUGCAGCUGAACUUGACGGUGAAUUGCAGGCCUAGGCGGCUAGAGAGAAUAAGGCCAGGUUUGGAGAAAACCGGAGGCGUGUUAAUCCGGGAGAGGCGGAACCUUGGCUGAGGAGGGUGAGAAUUCAGUGAGAGUAGAGGGCAUUCUGGGAGCUAGCAAGGACUCCUGGGGAAUGGAGUCCAGAGUUCAAAUCUCAAUUUUACAAUAUGAAGAGGAAAUGGAUCUCAUUUUUGGACAAGAUAUACACAAAAGAACCAUUGCACAGUGCCAAAGAAGCACAAAGCUAAACUGCAUAGUGCCAAUCAAGCACAAGGUCAAAGAAACCAACCAAUCCUGGUGAAAUUGAUGUAACUUUGAGCCUAGACAAAGAGGACUUGAACGUGUUUGGGGUUCAAGGUUGUGGCUGUUUAACAUGUGUUAAAGGCAGGUAUUCCUUGUUCCACAUUCUACCAAGUAUCUCAACCUUGGCUCCUAUAAUUUGGUCCCUUUUCUGUCUUUCAUAGUGUGGUACCUUUCUGUAGUCCUGGCUACUGACUGGGUAAAUGCAUCAUUGCUUAGAUCAUUUUGAUUGGGCCCUGAUUCAAGGACCUGUUAUAGAUUUAUUUUUCUUUUACUUAGAGUUUUUACACAUAAGACUUUGAUAGUCUAUUAUUUUCAUCCAGAAAUUUUUCUUUUCUUUUGGAUUUUUCUGAUAUCUUUUUAAUUUCUCUUGCCAAGUGUUUCAUAUACCUCAUACCUCAGCCAUGAAUCCUUAAGUGAUCCUGUAUUUUUCAAUCACCCUCUUAACGGGGGGGGGGGGGGGAGGGU
Molecule: long non-coding RNA, 823 nt
Organism: Monodelphis domestica (gray short-tailed opossum)
Lineage: Eukaryota; Metazoa; Chordata; Mammalia; Didelphimorphia; Didelphidae
Source: RefSeq, a predicted model, not a curated record